UGUUAAAUCAAUUUACAGGAUUCUGGUUAAGUAGGGUUUUCUUGCUUCCUUUUGAAAUAAGCCUGAGCUACAAACUUCAGAUUAUGAAUUCUCCAGCUGCUCAGAUUUGAAGAAAAGGAGAGUAGAAGACAUGGCUUACAGAGAUACUCCAAAGCAUUCUAUAUAGUCACCACCAUGAGGACCUACUUCUGGUGCCAAGCUCGGUGAGGACAUCGCUCCUCUGAAAAGUAAGACAAGUAGCCUGCGAGGAAUGCCAUAAGCUUUUUUGCUUGGGCAAAUGUAUGGUACAGUGGCAGCCUGUGGAAUUUUGGGUUCCUGAGACUGAAACCAUUUAAUCAAAAGGGCAGAAGCAGCAUCUAGAGACAGCAGAGGCAGAUGGGGAAGGACCAUGGAGGAGCUGCUCAUAGGGAUGGACAGGAAAAACCAGGAGCAAUUUGAAUUCCUCUGAACAUGGGAGGAAAGAUCUCUUCAACAUGAACUGGUUCAUGGACAUGGAGGCAUGCCAAAGGGAAUGGGAGCAUUCCCUAAUGGAGAGGCUCAUUGAACUGGUGGUCAAAAGAGUGCAGUGUCUACCUGCUGCUGAAACACCAGAACUAGCUCAUCAGCCACCACUACCACCUUCUCCAGCCCAGGGUUGCAGUGACACCCUUCGCCACUUCUGACUUACCAGGAGGAGAACACUGAGUCUCCAAAAAUACUGGAACACUGUUAUGUUCCAGCCCC
This is a long non-coding RNA of Mauremys mutica (yellowpond turtle), 723 nucleotides long. RefSeq lists it as uncharacterized. NCBI's taxonomy places the organism in Eukaryota, Metazoa, Chordata, Testudines, Geoemydidae. The record is from RefSeq and is a predicted model, not a curated record. The transcript has 4 exons.